CAGCAGCCGCGGUAAUACCAGCAGCCCAAGUGGUGGUCGCGAUUAUUGGGCCUAAAGCGCUCGUGGCCGGGCCGGUAAGUCCCUUGUGAAAUCGGACGGCCUAACCGUUCGGCGUGCAAGGGAUACUGUCGGUCUUGAGGCCGGGAGACGUCCGAGGUACUCCGGGGGUAGCGGUGAAAUGUUCUGAUCCUCGGGGGACCACCGGUGGCGAAGGCGUUCGACGAGAACGGGCCUGACGGUGAGGGGCGAAGGCUAGGGGAGCAAACGGGAUUAGAUACCCCGGUAGUCCCUGUCUCUUAUA
RNAcentral lists this ribosomal RNA (301 nucleotides) under uncultured bacterium. Its description in RNAcentral is "partial 16S ribosomal RNA". It matches the Rfam family "Archaeal small subunit ribosomal RNA", at positions 459 to 759 of the family's 1478-position model. The record is from RNAcentral.